UGUAACCCGAGGACUGUCUGUAUAUUGAAUCUGUUGCUUUGAGUUAUCUACUUAGGAAAAAUAUAUAUUUUGACAGAAUUUCAAAGCUUCAGUAGAUUAAGAUAAUUUGCUUACUUUCUAAUAUUACAAGCAGAAAAAGAUAUUAUCUGUUAAAUGUGUAUUUAAUUUUUCACACAUUGGAACACAUAGGCUUUGUGUGCUUCUUCUGCUUUCUUCUGUUUGUGGGACCAAGUUGGAAUAGCUUCUCGUGCAGUUUAUAUUUGUUCUUUGGCUUAAUCUUUCAUACUUUAAUCUGGUUAAUCAUGGUAGCAGUUUUGAAUUUGAUAAGGAAGUGUACUGGGUAAGGGAGAUAGGAAGAGCG
Molecule: long non-coding RNA, 361 nt
Organism: Myotis brandtii (Brandt's bat)
Lineage: Eukaryota; Metazoa; Chordata; Mammalia; Chiroptera; Vespertilionidae
Exons: 3
Source: RefSeq, a predicted model, not a curated record